GCAUCACGGUGUAAUCACAAGCGACUGGCUAGCCCAGGCUCAAGCCGCCGUGGAGCAGCCUGACUCAUCAGUCUCUGGUCUCGGGGCUGCGAAGUCGUUUAAUGUGAUUGAUGAGUUCAACGGAUGGAGAAAACAGCCUGAUCUGGCGUCUCGGGGCUGCGAAGUCGUUUAAUGUGAUUGAUGAGUUCAACGGAUGGAGAAAACAGCCUGAUCUGGCUGAAGCCGUGGCAGCUAUCCGAGCUCUGGCUGCUGUUAUUCGUGCCAGCGAGGCUACCACCAUGAUGGAGCUUGAGAUUGAG
Molecule: long non-coding RNA, 299 nt
Filed under: Brassica napus (rape)
Lineage: Eukaryota; Viridiplantae; Streptophyta; Magnoliopsida; Brassicales; Brassicaceae
Description: long non-coding RNA (BNAP_LNC001442)
Source: RNAcentral